This 253-nucleotide ribosomal RNA is filed under the name uncultured bacterium. Its description in RNAcentral is "partial 16S ribosomal RNA". It matches the Rfam family "Bacterial small subunit ribosomal RNA", at positions 524 to 776 of the family's 1533-position model. The record is from RNAcentral.
UACAGAGGGUGCGAGCGUUAAUCGGAAUUACUGGGCGUAAAGCGUGCGCAGGCGGUGAGCUGUGUCCGAUGUGAAAGCCCCGGGCUUAACCUGGGAAUGGCAUUGGAAACUGGCUCGCUGGAGUGUGGCAGAGGGGGGUGGAAUUCCGCGUGUAGCAGUGAAAUGCGUAGAGAUGCGGAGGAACACCGAUGGCGAAGGCAGCCCCCUGGGCUAACACUGACGCUCAGGCACGAAAGCGUGGGGAGCAAACAGG